This 329-nucleotide ribosomal RNA is filed under the name uncultured eukaryote. Its description in RNAcentral is "partial 18S ribosomal RNA". It matches the Rfam family "Eukaryotic small subunit ribosomal RNA", at positions 1470 to 1796 of the family's 1831-position model. The record is from RNAcentral.
CCCUUAGAUGUUCUGGGCCGCACGCGCGCUACAAUGAUGAAUUCAACGAGUUUAUAACCUUGGUUGAAAAGCCUGGGUAAUCUUUUGAACUUUCGUCGUGAUGGGGCUAGACCCUUGCAAUUAUUGGUCUCCAACGAGGAAUUCCUAGUAAACGCAAGUCAUCAGCUUGCAUUGAUUACGUCCCUGCCCUUUGUACACGCCGCCCGUCGCACCUACCGAUUGAAUGGUCCGGUGAAAUCUUCGGAUUGAGACUUUGAUUUGUUUACUCAAAACGCUGUUUCAAGAAGUUGAUUAAACCUUACCAUUUAGAGGAAGGUGAAGUCGUAACA